GUGUCACGUACACCCAAGGGGACUGUAAAUCUAAGCCGGCUAGAGUGUAUCGACCUGGGAUUACUUCCAAGAUGAGGCCAAUCAGGUAUUAGUUGGUCACAGGAUAGGAAGUGUACCUAUGUAUUUAUCUAAUGUUGAGAAAGGUGGCGAGACGAUAUUCCCAAAAUUAGAGAUGAAAGAAUCUCAACUCAAAACCGAUGAAGACUCAUACACGUGCACAUGACGUGAGGGUGUGCAAAAAUGGU
RNAcentral lists this long non-coding RNA (245 nucleotides) under Helianthus annuus (common sunflower). Its description in RNAcentral is "hypothetical non coding rna". The record is from RNAcentral. Lineage: Eukaryota; Viridiplantae; Streptophyta; Magnoliopsida; Asterales; Asteraceae.